Molecule: non-coding RNA, 28 nt
Filed under: Homo sapiens (human)
Lineage: Eukaryota; Metazoa; Chordata; Mammalia; Primates; Hominidae
Source: RNAcentral
GGCUUCAGAUGCGUGCAGGGUGAUGUGA